Molecule: long non-coding RNA, 1071 nt
Organism: Piliocolobus tephrosceles (Ugandan red Colobus)
Lineage: Eukaryota; Metazoa; Chordata; Mammalia; Primates; Cercopithecidae
Source: Ensembl
AUGAAAAUAACGAUGUAUUUAAUGAAUGUACAGAAAACGACUUGUUCGAAUAUAAAGGAAAAAAAAUUAUGUUUUUGUAACAUAUUUAAUCAUACUAGUAACAAUAAUUGUAUAUAUCCGUUUUGUGAUAGACAUAAAUCUUUUUGUUACAUUAAUGAAGAAUGUGUACAUGGUAAAUGUGUUUGUAUUAGUGGGUAUGUAAGAAAUCCGAUAAGUAAUAUAUGUGAAAAAUUUAAUGAAUGUAUUACAAAUAAAAAAUCUAUAUGUAAAGAACCUGGAACUUGUGCUUCAUUAAACAACCGUUAUGUUUGUUUAUGUCCACAUCCAUAUAUUCGAGUUUUUAAAAACUGCUUACACCCUUUAACUGCUAUACUAAUUAAACUUCAUAUUUUUAUCGAUGGACAACGUAAUAUAUCUAUAUAUGAAGAAAAUGCUUAUAAAAGAAUAACCUUUUAUACCAAAGUCUUUGGAUCUGUUUGUGAAUAUAUUAAAGCCGUUAUGGAUUACAUUGUCAAGACUGAUAUGGAAUCACGAAUAGAUGUAAAACCGAUAGAAAAAACGAAAAACACCAUCACAGCAAAUAUCAUAAUACAUCAAGGAAAUAACCCUAAUGAACUUACACCAGUAGAAAUUUUUAAUAUUUUUUUAAAACAGUUAAUUGAUUCAACAUCCCCAUUAAAUAAUGGAUUUUACUCAUAUUUUUCAAGAUAUACAUACAUAGAAUAUGUAAAAGCUUUUUCAGAAAGUGAAGAAACACCAUCGUUUUAUGAAUUGUUCUUAAAUCAUAUACCUAUGUUUUUUAUGAAGAAAAUUAAUGAAGAUUUUGGUAAAAGUGCAUUUAUGGUUGAUUUUUUACAUUUUAUUGUACUUACUUGUUUCGUUCUUUUUUUAAUUCUUUCUGUUUCGAUUUUGGUUUUUUGUGUUAUAUACUUGUUAGUAAAACUUAAAACGUUUCAUAAAAAUAUGAGAAAAAUAUAUUAACCAAGGAAGUAAACGAGAGGAGGAAAUCUUAAGGGUAAAACCGAAUAUUAAAAAAAUAAAAAAAAAAAAAAAAAAAAAAAAAAAAAAAAA